RNAcentral lists this ribosomal RNA (155 nucleotides) under Glycine max (soybean). Its description in RNAcentral is "rRNA 5_8S_rRNA". It matches the Rfam family "5.8S ribosomal RNA". Rfam says of the family: 5.8S ribosomal RNA (5.8S rRNA) is a component of the large subunit of the eukaryotic ribosome. It is transcribed by RNA polymerase I as part of the 45S precursor that also contains 18S and 28S rRNA. Functionally, it is thought that 5.8S rRNA may be involved in ribosome translocation. The record is from RNAcentral. Lineage: Eukaryota; Viridiplantae; Streptophyta; Magnoliopsida; Fabales; Fabaceae.
GACUCUCGGCACGGAUAUCUCGGCUCUUGCAUCGAUGAAGAACGUAGCGAAAUGCGAUACUUGGUGUGAAUUGCAGAAUCCCGUGAACCAUCGAGUCUUUGAACGCAAGUUGCGCCCGAAGCCAUUAGGCCGAGGGCACGCCUGCCUGGGUGUCA